This 404-nucleotide ribosomal RNA is filed under the name Afrodiastictus sp. BMNH703538. Its description in RNAcentral is "partial 16S ribosomal RNA". The record is from RNAcentral. Lineage: Eukaryota; Metazoa; Arthropoda; Insecta; Coleoptera; Scarabaeidae.
GUCUUUUUGAUAAUAAUUUAAAGUCUAAUCUGCCCUAUGAUUUAUUAAAUGGCUGCGGUAUUUUAACCGUACAAAGGUAGCAUAAUAAUUAGUUUUUUAAUUGGGAACUGGUAUGAAUGAUUGGACGAGAAAAUAGCUGUCUCAAUUUAAUUUUGUUUGAAUUUUAUUUUUAAGUUAAAAAGCUUAAAUUUUUUUAAAAGACGAGAAGACCCUAUAGAGUUUUAUAUAAAUAUAUUUGAUAUUUAGUUUAGUUUUUUUAGAAUUUUAUUUUUAUUUAUAUUUUGUUGGGGUGAUGGAAAAAUUUAGUAAACUUUUUUUAAAAUAUUUAACAUUGGUUUAUGUUUAUUUGAUCCUUUUUUUUGAUUAUAAGAUUAAAUUACCUUAGGGAUAACAGUAAUUUAGCU